AUGUGGUUGAGGUUGCAGAGUAACGCCCGCUGAGGGGACAGCAUGGUGCCUGCCGCGACCCGGUGGCCUCUGGAGAACCAGCAGGACUGGGCCUCUCGCAUCCACCCACCUGGCCACGCAGAUGCAGACCUGGAAGACAAGAGUGGAGAAGCCAGCCAGUGAGGGCGAGGGCCGCAGGAAGGACAGCGAGGUGCAGCCGGAUGCAAAUCCCCGGGAACGCAGAAGGGAGGGCAGAGAAUGCGGCUGCGCUCUGGCUCUCCGCAGGGGUUCGGAGCUUGGAAAAGGAGGGGCCCAAGGGACCCCGAUCCUUUCCGCAUCCAUCCGGCCCUGGCCUCCAGCCCACCCGGCGUUCCUGGGGAAGCCGCAGAGACCCCGCCCCGGUGCCCUGAAAUGAAGCAGUAGAGAUCUUGUUCGCUAGCCCCAGGAAGAUGGCCGCGGGCAGCGACGCGGCGUGCUGCUGGACGAGGCCCUGGAGGCGGCUGUAGCUGUCCUCCUCGUACCGCAGGAACGCAGCCGGCAGGUCCAGCUCCUCGUACAGCGCCUUCACCCUGGCCACCUUCUCGGCGUCCUUCUGCCCAUAAUUCUCCUGGAAAGUGGAGAACAAUGGACUCGGCUUCCCCGGCGCCUCCAGGCCUUCUGCGCGCGCUCCUCCUCCACCGCCCCAGGGCUCGGGCCCACCGUCCUCAGGCCAGGGGUCCCCUAGGUGGGCAGCACCGGAAUUCUGGGCCAGGUCAUGGUCUGGGGGAGCUGUUCUGGGUGCUGUUUGGCAGCGCCCUCACCUCUACCCACUAGACACAUUUUAGCACAAGCAUUCACCAAGUUGUGAUGACAAAGUUAUGUCGUCUUUGCCAGACGUCGGCCCCAACUGAGAACCUCUGCUCUACCCCCUUUCUCAUCCCCGCAGAGACCCCAGGCUGCUCCUGGGCACCUGCAGGAUCUGGCGCUGCUCCAGAGUCGCCCGCUGCAGGCACUGAACCACCAGCCAGCUGCAUUUGUUGUCCUGGAUGUCGGUGCCAAUCUUCCCUGUCACACUGGGGUCCCCAAAGAGGUCAAGGAAAUCAUCCUGGGUGGGGUGGGGGCAGCACAGGAAGGAUGAGGGGCUCCAGACAGGCCAAGAGGAGGGCUGCUCCCUGUCCCCUGCCACGCCACUGGGCCUUCCCACCUGGAUCUGGAAGAACUCGCCCAUCUCCGUCAGGAUCCCCCUGGCGCUGCUGUGCUCCUUCUCCCCGUCUAUGCCAGCCUGCAGGGAGGGGAGCGGGCACCACAGGGCCUCAUGUUCCCGGAGCCUGCAGCGGCCUCGCCCUACUGCAGCGCCCAAGGGUCUCUCCUUCCAGGUGUCCUUGCCGACCCAGAUGCAGGAAGCCCGACCAACAGGCCGGCCUCUCCCACUUAUCUCAGCUGGGCUUCAGAACGCCCCCAUCCGGUGUGGGUUCCAGACUGGCCCAUUCUGAGGCCCCUGGGAGCCUCUGUCACCCUGAGCCUUCUUCCUAAGCUUUCUGUCACCUCCAGUGCCUUUCAGGAUGGAAACUCCUUGAAUGCUACCAGCACCGUCAAGCCCCGGAUGUACUUGCCUCCAAUGGCAUUGUACUCUAGGACCUGUAGCCAGGGGAGAGGGACAGGGAGCAGUGACUCAUCCUGCAGCACAGCUGGAAGAGUUGCCAAGGGCCCAGUGCCUAACCAUGCCCUCUGCAUUCUCUGCCCCAUUCAACCCAUCUGCAGAUGAAACGCCUGCCUGCGUUAAAGACAAGGUUCCUCCAGCUGGGCAGAGGAGACCCAGGCUGGGGGGCAUCUCCCCUCCUCCAGUGGCUCCUCCCUCUGCUGCCCUGCUGCCAUCCAGAGCCAACGCAGAGGGAAGAUGUUCUUCCUAGUCCUUAUCCAGUGAAGAGGGACACCCAGGCUCUGAGCUACGCCCCGGGGAGCGGACGAUAACAAGCUGGAACCCGUGGGUGCUAAGGACACAUGGUCUGCAGCACUGGAACGAGCGACCCGGGCCUCACAGGAGAGCGGGGACCGCGCAGGUGAGCUCGGAACCGCUCCGGGCGGAGGGCUCGCAGCAGGAGUUAACUGGGGGACCGGGCAAGUUCCGGGCUUCGUGACAGUACAUGGGCAGAGUUAGGAAGUUUCCUGAAGCACAGAGGGGCCAGCCAGUCCGAUCCACCGACUCCUAGAAAAUCAGGCCCGGCACACAGGCUGGACUCUGCGCCGCACAUACUGCCGAAAAUAAGGCUAGGUCUGGGACCUCUGCAUGUAUCCCCAGCGCUCGACAGCUCUCACCUGUUCAGGACGCAGUUCCAGCCUGGUCCAGAUUGUUGGCUGGGUAAGACUAAGAAACGCGCUCGGCGCUGGGCCCUCUGGGUCGGGUAGUUCUCGGUUCCCCCUAGGUGGCGGCAGGAAUAUGGACCAUUAGACUACGACUCCCGGCGUUCCCUGGACGGGGGCGGGACGACUCGAACUAGCGCGGCUGGCGCGGCGGAGACCGGCAGCGCUGACUGGCUACUUAUCCUCGUGUGAGCAUGGGGCCCUGUGACGCACGACCAAUGGGAGGGCUGCUCGCCGGGCGACGGGCCGGGAGACGCACGCCUGGGAGGGUCUCACUACAGCUGAUCUCAAACUUGUGAUCCUCCUGCAUUAGCCCCCCAGAGAACUGGGAUUUCAGGGAUGGAUUUCAGGGAGUCCAAGACAAAUGGUGAGGACACCGAGUGCUCUCAAGAGGAAGGAAGGAGAUGAAGUGGUCUAAAAGAGGUUGCUGCUAAGGCGAGUGGAAAGCGGUCCUGACUGCUGUGUAUUGUACCAUGCUGCUGACUGCAUAAAAAAGGAAGACUGUACAUCGUUUCUGUGUGUUUGUUUGGUUUUGGGUACUGGGAUUGAACUCAAAACUUUGUGCUCCCAAGGCAGGCACAGUGCCUCUGAGCUAAAUCCCUGACCCCAUCGUUUGUACCUGAUGGAAAUAUCACGGAGGGUGCAUAGAAAAUUCAGAACCAAUGGGCUGGGGAUUUAGCUCAGUGGUUUCUGAAGGACCCUAGUUAGCAAGACAGACUCCAUAUUGCUGCUUGACCCACCUGCUUGCCCUUUAGAUGAACUCAGAAGGAGGAAGCUUAGAAACCUCCUCCCCUUAGAAAGUCUCUUUAGAAACAAUUAAUCAACU
This is a non-coding RNA of Heterocephalus glaber (naked mole-rat), 3145 nucleotides long. The record is from RefSeq and is a predicted model, not a curated record. NCBI's taxonomy places the organism in Eukaryota, Metazoa, Chordata, Mammalia, Rodentia, Bathyergidae.